UGCCAGUAGUCAUACGCUCGUCUCAAAGAUUAAGCCAUGCAUGUGUAAGUAUAAAUAAUUUAUACUUUGAAACUGCGAAUGGCUCAUUAUAUCAGUUAUAGUUUAUUAGAAAUAUUUUACUACUUGGAUAACCGUAGUAAUUCUAGGGCUAAUACAUGAGUAAAACCUCAACUUCGGAAGAGGUGUGUUUAUUAGUAUGAAAACCAUAUAUCUUCGGAUAUAAUAGUGAGUAAUAAUAACCUUUCAUAUCGUAUGUCGUAAGAUAACGAUAGUUCUUUCAAGUUUCUGCCCUAUCAGCUUUCGAUGGUAGUAUAUGGGACUACCAUGGCAGUAACGGGUAACGAAGAAUUUGGGUUCGAUUUCGGAGAGGGAGCCUGAGAGAUGGCUACCACAUCCAAGGAAGGCAGCAGGCGCGUAAAUUACCCAAUCCUGACAUAGGGAGGUAGUGACAAUAAAUCACAAUGCGGAACUUUUAGUUUUGCAAUUGGAUUGAGAACAAUGUACAAAUGUUAUCGAUAAACAAUUGGAGGGCAAGUCUGGUGCCAGCAGCCGCGGUAAUUCCAGCUCCAAUAGCGUAUAUUAACGUUGUUGCAGUAAAAAAAGC
RNAcentral lists this ribosomal RNA (604 nucleotides) under Blastocystis sp. RNAcentral describes it as "SSU rRNA". It matches the Rfam family "Eukaryotic small subunit ribosomal RNA", at positions 15 to 628 of the family's 1831-position model. The record is from RNAcentral. Lineage: Eukaryota; Bigyra; Opalinata; Blastocystidae.